Molecule: ribosomal RNA, 140 nt
Filed under: uncultured Leptotrichia sp.
Lineage: Bacteria; Fusobacteriati; Fusobacteriota; Fusobacteriia; Fusobacteriales; Leptotrichiaceae
Description: partial 16S ribosomal RNA
Rfam family: Bacterial small subunit ribosomal RNA
Source: RNAcentral
UGGAGGAGACUCUGAUCCAGCAAUUACUGUGUGCACGAAGAAGGUUUUCGGAUUGUAAAGUGCUUUCAGUGGGGAAGAAGGAAGUUGACGGUACCCACAGAAGAAGCGACGGCUAAAUACGUGCCAGCAGCCGCGGUAAU